AUUGAACGCUGGCGGCAGGCCUAACACAUGCAAGUCGAACGGUAACAGGAAGCAGCUUGCUGCUUCGCUGACGAGUGGCGGACGGGUGAGUAAUGUCUGGGAAGCUGCCUGAUGGAGUGGGAUAACUACUGGAAACGGUAGCUAAUACCGCAUAAUGUCGCAAGACCAAAGAGGGGGACCUUCGGGCCUCUUGCCAUCGGAUGUGCCCAGAUGGGAUUAGCUUGUUGGUGGGGUAACGGCUCACCAAGGCGACGAUCCCUAGCUGGUCUGAGAGGAUGACCAGCCACACUGGAACUGAGACGCGGUCCAGACUCCUACGGGAGGCAGCAGUGGGGAAUAUUGCACAAUGGGCGCAAGCCUGAUGCAGCCAUGCCGCGUGUAUGAAGAAGGCCUUCGGGUUGUAAAGUACUUUCAGCGGGGAGGUAGGGAGUAAAGUUAAUACCUUUGCUCAUUGACGUUACCCGCAGAAGAAGCACCGGCUAACUCCGUG
Molecule: ribosomal RNA, 490 nt
Filed under: uncultured bacterium
Lineage: Bacteria
Description: partial 16S ribosomal RNA
Rfam family: Bacterial small subunit ribosomal RNA
Source: RNAcentral